This 2598-nucleotide long non-coding RNA is filed under the name Canis lupus familiaris (dog). RNAcentral's name for it is "lncRNA (ENSCAFG00000038962.3, ENSCAFG00845004906.1)". Lineage: Eukaryota; Metazoa; Chordata; Mammalia; Carnivora; Canidae. The record is from RNAcentral.
GAAUGAUGAAGAGCUAUUCGGGAGACGGAGGAGGAGCGGGGAAGAGGAGGGUGAGGAGGAGGAGGAAGAGGAGGAGGAGGAGGAGGAUAGAGAGGAGAGGGGAGGAGAGAAGGAAGAGGAGGAGGAGGGGGAGGAAGGAAAGGGGGAAGAAGGAGGAGGGUGGGGAGGGGGAUGGGGAGGAGUACAUGGAGGUAGUACCUGGGAGCAUGUUCCGUUUCCUGCAUCCCUCACGUGGCCUCCCACAGCCUCAGAGCCCCGGCCUCCUUGUCACCCCCAGCACCUGCCCCUUCCUACCACUUCGCCCACACACGCCCACUGUCUACUGGCCAGUCCUCCCAGGUUCCCCAUCUCCCCACCUGCUGGGGGGCCUGGCAGCAGAACAGGUAAGACCCUGAAUGACAAACAAGUGCUCCAUCCUGGUCACUGACCACCACUCGCUCCGGCUAAGGGGCCAGCGCAGGAGGCCGGGGCUAUGCGGGCUUACCCUGCACCUGCUGCGCCGUGGGCGGCCGGGGCUGGAGGGGCGAGGGUGGCAGGCACAGGGAGGUCCCGCUCCCCAGGGCUCAGGGCAGCCCCCAUGUGUCAGCUGAACCAUUGCCAUCUUUUGACGCCCUGCGUGUGUAACUCCUGGGUCCCCGGGGCAGGCGAGCGCGGGAGGUUCUCCGCUGUGGCCGUGCUGUGUGGGCGAUGCAGGAGGACGUCGGAUCUGUGCCCGGGGGUCAAGCUGGAGAGGUUUGUCCACACAGAGCCAGAACCCCGAAGGGCCUGGUGAGCCAGGAGCGAGAGCAGUCUCUGAAGGAGAGGCAGGUGGCGAGGCGGCGCAGAGCCUUUCUGGCACAUUCUUCCUGCAAGGCUUCAUCCAAAUGGGAGCCUGGAAGUGACUUCACUUCCUCCUCUUCCUCUGCGACGGCCACUGCGGCUCAGGCUGACCCAGGCUGGCCACUGUCGCGGGGAGUGGGGAGGCUGGGCCAUCUCCUUCUCCAUGUACGGAACCCGACACUUGCCACUUCAACCUUGGGCUCGGCUGCCGAGAAAGGGUCCCCCCGGACUCUACCCAUGAGGUCGGUCCUUGCCUCACUGUGUGUCUCGGCCUCUCCCACGGAUGAAAUAUGAAUCAUUCGCUACCUCUGACCAGGCAACAAGCACGCUCACAGGAAAGCUCAUUGUGAGCCAGCAAGAGGCAUCUAAAUGUCACAGAUGAGGCUCGUGAUGGGGACUCGAAAGGUGGCCAGCAAGCCUUCCCUGGAGACCAAAGCCAUCCUCGCCGCAGUCCCUGCCUGCCCCACCGCGGGAGGCUGCCAGGGCUCCUGUUCACCCGAGACGCCUCGCCACCUGCUGGGACGCGCAGCACGGAGGGAGCAGACCACAGGCUCCGCUGCUAGAGUUGCCCCCGCUCACGGGGCACCGGGAGCCCAUGCGUCUCCCUGAGCUGAAACGUAUGGACUUCAGCAGGACCGAGGCCGGGCUUCCUCCCUGCGUUUUUGGGGGGCCUCGUGAAGCACACGCCUGGGAUUUCUCUCUGCUCCCUGGGUGCUCAUCCUGUGUGGGAGCAAGGUGAAGUCUUGGUGUUGAACGUGGUUCUAGAUCCGGGUUUGAAUCCGGGUAAGCCUCCAAUACUUACCCUGCUCCCCUCUCAAGCAGGUGGUUGGUCACCUUACAAGGAUUUUGUCCCAGCUGGGCCUUCAGUGGAUGGUGCCCGGCUCUUUGUCUCUUACCAGAUUUGGAGCUGGGGUAUGCAGGGAGCGGGGAGGUGUUGGAAAAUGAGGGAAGAUCCUGAUUAUAACAGAGGCAGAACUCCUAAGACCAGCGACUCUGGGAUCUCUCACUGUUGGUUUGUAUUCAUGACGCUCUCUGAGGAGGAACGCCCCAGAGAAAACACCCCCUCUUCCCCAAAGCAGAAUGCCAUUCACAGGGGAGUUUGGGAUGGGGACUACAUGGGAUGGUCUCCAACUGACGAUGUUCUAACUGAUGAUUUUUUGACUUCAUGAUGUUUGCAUUUCGGUAUAAACUACUGGAAUUUUGAAUCUGGAUCUUGUCCCAGGCUAGCAACAUGCUGUCUGGUCCUCUCUUGUGAUGCUGGCCAGUGGCCCCGGGGCCUUAGCACCUGUCAGUCAGGCGAUCAUGAGGGAAAACAGGUGACACAGUGACAGCCAUUUAUACCCGAGAACCACACUGGUGUUCACUUUCAGUACAGCACUCAGUAAGCCACACGAGCUGUUCAAGAUGUCAUAAGAUGGGCUUCGAGUGAGAUGGCUUUGCCCGACCGUGGGCUGAUGCCUGACCAUGGGCUGAUGUACAUGCUCCGAGCAUGUCAGAGGGUGGCUCAGCCAACCUAGUAUGUUAGGUUAGGUGUCUGAAACGCAUUUGCGACUUACCAGUAUUUUCAGCUUAUGGCAGGUUUAUCGGGAUGAAACCCCAUCCUAAGCUGAGAUGAGGAUCUACAUGUGAAAAUGCAAGCAGAACGAGUCAAAAAUAUAUCAGAUGCAACUACGGUAAAGCUUAGAAGGAUACUCAUAGCUUUAAAUGCUUAUCUUAGAAAAAAAGAAAAAAAAAUGAAAUCAAUAACCUAAGUGUUCACAAAGAGAAUCUUGGAAAAUA